AUUUUUUCUCUUUCAUGUGACCAGUUUGGCUCUUAUUAACUGAAAACUUGAAUGUACUUGGCGCAGUUCCAAAAUGUGGCUUUCUUGAAGCCGCUUGAAAGGGGAGGGGGUAUUUUUUUUUUUUUUUUUUGCAAAAGCUCUAUAGGGUGUAAGACGGAGGAAUAAAAGACAGAAAGAAAGAUGGCAGUAAUUGUAAUAUCCUGAGAUUUUUUCGCUCAGCCAAAAAAUUCGUGCCAUUGAGCAAGUUUCACAGGGCUGCCGCUGACUCGCUGCAGGACACAUAAAAUCUGAUCAAGUUCAGAGACGCGCUGAGUGCUUCAAGCGGCGCUUUUUAACUCCAAGCCUUUCACAUCCUUUCCCCCUCAAUCUGUCCCAGGAAGGAGCUCACAUUCUUUAUUUUAGGGGAUCUGGGCUAAAAAAAAAAAAAAAAAGCGAGAGAAAAAAGAGAGAAAAAAAUCAAAUCAGUCCUUCAUUCUGUUCUCGCCCUCAUCCUACCGCAUUCACUCCCAGAACAUUUCGUCGAGAAAGAGUUAUAGAUUGAAAAGAUCCUCUUGUUCCUCUGCCUCAUCUAUAUCUAUCCCUGCAGCUCCUGCCCAUCUUCACCUUCCAUGACUUCUUCGUGAUGGCACCCUAAUCUCUGCCAGAGUGGUCUGAUGUAUGCAUUGCAAGGCAGCUGCAUGAUCAAGCCUGUGAACUCUACAUCUGAAGGAAGGAUUCUGUUUCUGAUCAUAUCCCUAUUGAAGUCCAUCCAUUUGCCGAACAUGGAGGUGUUGACGCACUCGCGCUUGCACUCACUGGUAUGUGGUGGUUACAUUUCUAUGUACUGGACGUGACUGUGUGCCGAUAUUUAGUGUUUGUAACAGUAGUGGGAGCACAUUUUAGAACGCUGUAAGGGAGGAUGCAUGGCAAUCUCGCUGUUAACCUUCAGCCUUACGAGUUCACCCCAGGGCCUAAAUCUACAAUGAUGGAUAUAAGGUGACGGGGAAUAGGGGGUCUUCACACAACCUUGGAAUUUCCCCUGAUGUUUUUUACUUACAUUUAGACCAAGAUUUGCACUGCGAUGAUAUUUUAUAUUAGGGGUGUAUCAUUAAUGGAGGGGACAAAUGUGAUUUGUUGACCCUAAAGUGGAUGGCACAGACAAAAACAGAGUAAUGGCAUUGAGGCAACAAGAGGGAAUGCAAGGUAACCGGUUGAUGAUAUAUGUAUUUACACUCAUCAACAAUAUAAUGUCCCCAGGGGACCAAGGUUUCAUUUAUAUCCCUUUGAAAUUAAAGCCCUAAUGAUGGAAAUUAUUAGCCACUUGCUAAAGAGAGCACAGGGGCAUGCGAGAGAGUAAUUAGUGACCAGUGAAGCUUUGAGGAGAUGAAGUAAUGUAUUUAAAGGCAAAAAUAAUCAUCAGUAAGGAAGCCUGGCCUUCUAUUAGGUGCAGUCUAUGAUAUGGUAAUUUGAUAUGCAUCGAGUGAGGAUUCGUGCAUACAGCAUCACAUUAAAUCAAAAACAGCUGCAUUAAUUUUUGUCUUACGAUCAGUGGCAUACCACCUUCACUGCUGACUCAGACCUGUGACGUGUUCACCUUUUCAUGGAUGACUUUCAAAAAGAACAAGGAAGAACUGAUGGUAUUUAUUUCAGUCAGCAGGGAAUAAUCCUAGUUUUAAGAUAUCUGAAAGAGAAGAGGGAUCAAAACUCCAUCUCUUAUGUAACAGGAGAGUGUGUCACAUUGUUUUUUUAGGUCCUGUAUUAAAGUAGGAUAUGGCAGAGGUAAUUAGCAAUUUUCCUCAGCUCAACUCCAGUACCUUAUGUUAUCUGUUUGGUUGCUGUUGUGAAUGCCAUAGCAUUCCUUUCAGUUAUGUAAGUGACGGAAUUAUGCAAUCUCUAUAAGUAUGUUUCAGAAAAAAUCAUCUGCAACAAAAAGGAAAAUAUACUUAUGGAAAUGCUAUGCCUACAGUAUAACAAAUACAAAAUCCCCACCGUUUUGACAUGCAUCAGGUCAGUAAUACCCAAACAAAAGCUGAGUGUGCAACAGAAGAAAGAAGAGAGGGAGUUUGUUUACUGUAGAAACAAUGAUAUUUGUAUUUAAAAGUGUACGCUUCUUGACUUUCAAGACCAAAGAAACAGCUACAAAUGAAUCAGUAAAGCUAUGUGUGUAAUAUAUUAGACUCACUUCCUGUUUGAAAACAUCAUUAACUUUGCUAUAUGCAUUAAUUUCAUUCAAAAUAUCCCACAAAAGGGACCAUGAAUAAUUCCAAGGAACCAAUGGAAGAGAGGGAAAAAAAGAUACAGCCAUCACUCAUAUCACGCAGCUGCAGUAUAAGUACCCUUUUCUGCCUGUGUUUUAAAAUGGUGUAAAUGUCUUUGUAUUCAUCAACACAUUACGGUAAUGUGCCAAACAGGUACAGUGGAAACAGCUUAGAAGUCAGCAUGCGCUGUUGAUAAUAUAAAUUGUAACAUGUGAACAAGAGAUUAUUGCAAAAUGGCUGACUUGACUGCCUACACAUAUUUUUUUUACUGAUCUCUAAUAUAAAACAGCUUUUACUGUUGUUGCAUGUUGCAUGUAAAUCCAUACGUAUAAUAUAACAAUAUCAAUUUAUGUUUUUUCCAUUUUAGUUUAAUUUGGGGAUCCCAAGUAAGAAGAUAAUUUCUUUUUCUUUUUUACUGUCUGCUAAGAAAGACAGAUUGUGAGACUGGAAGGUGGUCUGUGUGUGUGUGUGUGUGUCUGCGUAUAUGAGUGGGCAUGUGUGCAUUAUGCGUGUGUUAAACGGGACCUAGGCCACAGCAGCGUGGAGGACUGAAGUCUCCGUGUAUUCUAGCUCAGAGAUCACAGAACUUAUGAAAGACUGCUCUUUGAUCAUUUCCAUUUCUAAAAUAAUUUGCUUUGAACAUUUCAAGUCACUUGUGCUUUUAUUUAUGGAGCCUGUAGACAAUCAAGGAGUUGAAAAUAAUUAGGCUCACGCGCACAUGAGUGUGGACACGUAUUCCCUUUCAAUCAGUUAAAACCAGCUCUGUUAAUUAAAGUUCUAAGCUGUGACUCUGCCCAAAUAAUUUUCUUGUAAGCUACUGCAUUCCUCAGAUCUGUUGUCAGUAGUGCAUAUUUUCUUUUGGUUGUUCCUUUCUAUGUUUUUUUCCUACAGAAAUCCCACUGACCCAUAUAGUUGAUCUCAUUCUUGAAGCAUAUAAUAUAGAUUCCAAGUUAAGAGAAUAGGGGCUCUAUUAUUAGUCCCAUUUGAGGUGCGCAGCCUCCAUCUAGGUACUGCUGUGUAUUUCUGAAUUCCCUGAGUGAAGGCAUUACCAUCUCAUUUGGGUGAGGGUGAGAUUACCUCAUGCAACCGAGCUGUUUUAUCACAGAAUAUCUAGGGGAGCUGAGCUGUAGCUGCUGACUGUUUAUUCAGGCAGCUGAAGGAAGAGACAUUCCAGGCACAUUUCACAAAUAUCACACAUGACAACUUGUGAUGCCACCUUACUGAUGUUUCCCAUGAAAGGUCUCUCACUAACAACAACAUCCUAUUGAUCUUCAGCACCAUUUUAACAACCUCCUCUCACCCUCUCACACAUACACACCUGAGUGGGUAUGGAUUGAAAAUGUUAGCGGUUAGCGGCUAACUUUGCCAACACAUCCUUUGGUACGUCUGUCAAUUAAGCCCAGUCAUUGUAGGAGUGGCACAAGAGCAGUCCUGGGCAGAGAGAGAGUGAUGAUAAUCAAAGGUGUAAAUAACGGCUCAUUUCGUGGUGCAGAAUUAAUAUGCAGGACUAACAUUUUUGUCCUUAUUAAAAGGAUGAGAACUCAAAACAAGAAAUAAACUUCUUGGAUUAAAAUUUUGUGUUUAAUUGGAUAGAUGAAACGAGCAAUUAGUUGCAGUUGAGUUAAGUUCUUUUUUUUUCCAAGUCAGCUCAUCUUAAUUUAUUUAAAACAAAAAGGGGAAAUAGUAAUAAUGCAUUCAUUCACUUCUUUCAUAUUUCUUUCACAUUUUUAUAGAACGCCACUGCAAUUCAUUCAACAGUUCGGCUAUCGAAUAUCUUUCAUUUUUCUAUUACGUUUGAGAUCAUAGUUCAAACGAACUAUAUUCUCUUACUAUGUUUUCCUUUUUUUCUAUUAACACCUGUCUGGCCUUUUAAACAAAACAAUAGCUAACAUAUUUGCCACAAACUUUAUAACAGUUUUUACUGAGUUGCUUUAAAUUUUAGUUAUAUUUCAUAAACUGCAUGCAUUUCAGUUUUUUUUUUACAUGAAGAUUUAUGGUACUACUGUUGCUUUAUACUGAGCGUUUUUUUAUCUACAUUAGUAUCAAAACACUGAAUUAUAUCCUUGCUGCCAGUAGAUUUAAAUUCAAGGCCAUUGUAUUAGCCUACAAUAUAGUUAGGUAGUUAAUAGUAUAGUAUUUUAUCCCAGUGUAAACAAUAAACUCCUAAAUAAGUAGGCCAACAUUGUUUGAGUUUAUUUUGCUUCUCUGAAAUAUUACAAAAAAAAGCCCAGGCUACAGGUUAAUGAGAAGUUCUAAUUUCCCAAAGAUCAUAGGAGAGAUAAACGCCCACCUUUUUAGUUCCUCUCUGGUUAUUUCCUCUUUGCUGGCUCUACAUUUGUAGGCAUGAGAUGCUCGUUUUGUAGAUAUAUAAUUUCAACCGAGUGAUGCUGGUGCUGUUGUAACGUUAAAGGAUAUGUUUCUUGUUGUGGAAAAUGGGUGAGAUGACUGGUAGUGUCGUUCCGUUAUUGCACCGACCUUACUCAUCAGUCAGAAAUCAAAGCUUUGACAGUUGCCAACAUUAAAGGGCUGCUUCUGGCACGUCUUGUGCCAAGAGGCUUCUUUAUGCUGAGCAUAUUAAUAUACUGUAGGUCAUGAGCAGGCUCAUCUGCUGAUCAUGUAUGAGAAGAUGGAUACUCUCGAGCCACACCAGGCACAGAUCCAGCCAAUAUUCUUGCUGGAAUAUAAACUCAUCCACUACAAGUGCACUAGCUGGCUACUGAAAUGACUGAAGUAUUAUGACACAGUUUUUUAAUCAACCAGGAAUUUAAAGUAGAGCUCCUGAAAAAUAAAAAGCAAACCUGAGUUUAACUGAAAGAUCCAUCGCUGCAAAAAAAUAAAUACAAUUCCUUCUUCCUGGUGUCACAUCUGUUUGUAGAAAAGAAAGUGAUUCAACAGUACAAGCUAAUCUUAUUGUUAGUUGCAUGUUGUGUACAGGCCAUAAGCUCAUAUUGUUAUUACAGGCUACUUUUGGGUUUUGAUUUCAGACAUUAAAAAAUAAUAAUUCAAAUGUAAACGCUUCGAGUUUCAGACCUUGUCACAAAAUAACCUUUUAUUUUUAGUCCAUGUAUCCACAUUGAGGUAUUUUGUCGCUAUGUUUUUUCUCCACGCGGUUUGGAAUUUUGACUUGGGCAAGCUAUCUGUUUAUCUGCACACGCAACAGAACUUGAACCGACUCUUUUUAGCAUUAAAAUAGUGUCUUAAAAUCUCAAGGAAGUCAGACUUAGCAGCGAAGCUAACAGCUGUAACUCUUUGAUUUGCCGCUUCAGCCACACAUUUAUGAUCAUUAAGGCAAAUGUAACCUGUGCCCACUUAUUACCUGUAAUUAAUUCUCUCAAGUAACUACUCAUCAUUUUUAAUUUUAGUCCAGUUUGGAGUAAGUUUAGACAUUAGAUGUAAAAAUGUUGAAUUCUUAGAUUUUUGCAGAUAAUUUGGCCUGUUUUGAGAUUUAAAGUGUGUAUUAUUAGAAUUUAUAUUGACACAUUAUUACUUCUACAAUGAGCCUGUCUGUCUAGGCGAACAGAAAAAGCAAAGCCCAUUCAUCCUUCUGAAACCGCGUGCACAACUUCUACCGCUGACUGCUGCUUCACAAAAUCACCAGCGACGAGUGCUGUUUUGCAAGGGGCGGUGUCUCUCAAAAUUGAGAUGGAUGGUUUACAAAAAAUAUGUGAAACAUAACAUGCAUGUUUCAUGAUGUCAGUGACAAGACAUGGCACCAUGUCUCCUGCAAUGUAGUUUGUGCCUUUACCAGAGUAUCUUAAUUCCUGUGCAGAGACUGUGAUUUAGUCUUUUUUGUGUGUACCGGGACAUGUUUAUGGGCUAAUAGGCCUUUGUUAGUAGUACUCUAUUUAUUUAAUACAAUUGUAGUGUGAACAGAAGGAAUAAUAAACAGGCUGACUAAACAUACGAUUCUUCUUUUGGGCUGAGAAAACCCUGUGUAAGGACACAAAAGGGGGACGUUUCCACAGCGGAAAGUAAAUUCUUUUGAAGUGGAACUAAUCAUCUGAGGGAUGGUUUUCGUUGUCCUAACAACGCAGCUGAAUUGGAAUGAGCCUUCUUUUUUGUGGAAGAUAUGUUUUCUUUUUUUCAUUCAGAACUGAUGAUGAUAGCAGUUUCACGCCCUGUCCACCCACAUUGUCCGUCCAAACUUCUUUGCAGAUAAGUCUUUACUCGGAGACGCCGAACACACGGCGGGUGACUCUUGGACUGUGACGUCAGCCUCACUCUUGUGUCUCCCAGUCUUUCUCUUUUUUAAAUACCAUUAGAAUGAAAGGGGAAUCUCACAGCAAAUCCUUGUCAAUAACAAUUCUUUCAUAGUGCGAAUGGAUCAAGACUUAAAAAAUACCCCAUAUCAUAAUAUAUCAUCUUUUAUAUUAUGAUAUGGAUAAUAUGAUGCAUUCCUCUUUAGGUUAAGGUUAUUUAAGUCAGGUUUUAUCAAAAUAAACAUUUAUGUUUUAUAGAAAUUAAAAAAUAUGAAGGUAAAAAAAUUAACUAAAGUUACAUUU
Long non-coding RNA from Haplochromis burtoni (Burton's mouthbrooder), 6739 nucleotides. RefSeq lists it as uncharacterized. The transcript is spliced from 3 exons. The record is from RefSeq and is a predicted model, not a curated record. Lineage: Eukaryota; Metazoa; Chordata; Actinopteri; Cichliformes; Cichlidae.